UAAUUACAUCAUGUUUGCAGCGUUGGUUCGACAGGAAAAGUUAAUCGUACUCGCACAUAUCUUUGGCAAAGAAUCCUUGCAAGCUCACCAAAACCACGAUUUGAAAUCCCCCGAAUGGCGCACGAUACGGACCGCCAGCAAGGACGGAACGUUUUCGUGAAAUGACGUUCGUCCUCAAAAUGCCCCCAAGUCCUGGCCGAAGGACCAGUUCAUGGUUCAGAAGUGAAUAUCCAACGUAUCAGAGCGGUAAGGGGCCAAGCCGAGGGACAUUCCAGUGGACGGAGGUUAGGUCCUCGAGCCGGAUCCAACACAAAUCAGCCCUUUUCGUAAUUGACAAAGGAAUACGAGACUACGGCAAGGAUCGCUAAGCGAACCUGGAAUAAAGCCAACAAACAACAACAACUACAACAAUAUUAACAAAAAAGAAGUCAAACCUUGAGCACGAACCGUUUAAUACCACUGUUCUCCAUAAUCUUCGAGUGCAGUUUGUCAAUAUGUGACAAGAGCUAUGAAAAUACUACAAAAUAAAAGAAAUCAUCUUAAACGAUCCUCGACACGACUCUUCCUAUUCUGCGAAUCAAGGGUUCUGCUUUCGGGUGUGAAAAUAAUUAAAUACCAUCGUGUCGCGACUGUCAUUUAAUUGUCUACAGUUUGGCGAACGAAAAGAAGUGACAUAACACUGGAAAGCGAGCCAAUGAUAAAAAUCUUCACACACGGUUUCACUUGGUACAGAUGCUUUCGUGCUAGUGGCAAACAAAAGAAUAUCACUCCAUCGAGAGCAGCAUUGGCGUGGCAAAGGUGAACUGGGUGGCUAGGUGAACCAUUACUCUUCGAAAGGCGCGACUACACACCGUUAGAACACACAGCCGUA
Long non-coding RNA from Anopheles merus, 871 nucleotides. RefSeq lists it as uncharacterized. NCBI's taxonomy places the organism in Eukaryota, Metazoa, Arthropoda, Insecta, Diptera, Culicidae. The record is from RefSeq and is a predicted model, not a curated record. The transcript has 4 exons.